RNAcentral lists this unclassified non-coding RNA (345 nucleotides) under soil metagenome. RNAcentral's name for it is "partial contains 5.8S ribosomal RNA, internal transcribed spacer 2, and large subunit ribosomal RNA". The stretch from base 1 to 119 matches the Rfam family "5.8S ribosomal RNA", at positions 35 to 154 of the family's 154-position model. The record is from RNAcentral.
GAUGAAGAACGCAGCGAAAUGCGAUACGUAAUGUGAAUUGCAAAUUCAGUGAAUCAUCGAGUCUUUGAACGCACAUUGCGCCCCCUGGUAUUCCGGGGGGCAUGCCUGUCCGAGCGUCAUUGCUGCCCUCAAGCACGGCUUGUGUGUUGGGCCCCGUCCUCCGAUCCCGGGGGACGGGCCCGAAAGGCAGCGGCGGCACCGCGUCCGGUCCUCGAGCGUAUGGGGCUUUGUCACCCGCUCUGUAGGCCCGGCCGGCGCUUGCCGAUCAACCCAAAUUUUUUAUCCAGGUUGACCUCGGAUCAGGUAGGGAUACCUGCUGAACUUAAGCAUAUCAAUAAGCGGAGG